CUCUCAUUAAAGGUCUGGGGUCUGCUCAUUACAGGUCUGGGGGUCUCAUUCUAAGGUCUGGGGUCUCUCAUUACGGUCUGGGGUCUCAUUAAGGUCUGGGGUCUCUCAUUUAAGGUCUGGGGUCUCUCAUUAUG
This 134-nucleotide long non-coding RNA is filed under the name Coturnix japonica (Japanese quail). Its description in RNAcentral is "lncRNA (ENSCJPG00005002619.1)". Lineage: Eukaryota; Metazoa; Chordata; Aves; Galliformes; Phasianidae. The record is from RNAcentral.